AAGGUACAGUGGUAGGGGAGCAAUCUCUUAGGGGCGAAGCCAUUUCGUAAGGGAUGGUGGACUUAAGAGAAGAGAGAAUGUUGGCAUGAGUAGCGAAAGUGAAGUGAGAAUCUUCACCAUCGAAAGCCCAAGGUUUCCUGAGGAAGGCUCGUCCGCUCAGGGUUAGUCGGGGCCUAAGCCGAGGUCAAAAGACGUAGGCGAUGGACAACUGGUUGAAAUUCCAGUACUACCUCAAAGCGUUUGAGAAAUGGAGUGACACAGAAGGAUAAGCGAACCCGGCCGUUGGAAGAGCCGGGGCAAGCAGUAAGGCUGCAGCGGGAGGCAAAUCCCCCAUUGCAAAAGGCUAAGCUGUGAUGCGGAACGAAAAAUAAGUAGGGAAGUCGCCGAUUUCACGCUGUCAAGAAAAGCUUCUAUCGAGCUGCGAGGUACCCGUACCGUAAACCGACACAGGUAGGCGAGGAGAGAAUCCUAAGAUGAGCGGGAGAAGUGUUGUUAAGGAACUCGGCAAAAUGACUCCGUAACUUCGGGAGAAGGAGUGCCCCUUCGGGGGCCGCAGAGAAGAGGCUCAAGCGACUGUUUAGCAAAAACACAGGUCUCUGCUAAAUCGAAAGAUGACGUAUAGGGGCUGACGCCUGCCCGGUGCUGGAAGGUUAAGGGGAGUGCUUAGCGUAAGCGAAGGUGCGAACUUAAGCCCCAGUAAACGGCGGCCGUAACUAUAACGGUCCUAAGGUAGCGAAAUUCCUUGUCAGGUAAGUUCUGACCCGCACGAAAGGCGUAACGAUUUGAGCGCUGUCUCGACAACACACCCGGUGAAAUUGUAGUACUCGUGAAGAUGCGAGUUACCCGCGACAGGACGGAAAGACCCCGUAGAGCUUUACUGUAGUCUGGCAUUGAGUUUUGAUAUAACAUGUACAGGAUAGGUGGGAGGCAGAGAAGCAUGCACGCCAGUGUGUGCCGAGCCAUUGUUGGGAUACCACUCUUGUUAUAUUGGAAUUCUAACGCGUUGCCGUUACCCGGCAAGCGGACAGUGUCAGAUGGGCAGUUUGACUGGGGCGGUCGCCUCCUAAAAAGUAUCGGAGGCGCCCAAAGUUACCCUCAGGAUGGUUGGAAACCAUCUGUAAGAGUGCAAAGGCAGAAGGGUGAUUGACUGCGAGAGAGACAUCUCGAGCAGAGACGAAAGUCGGGCUUAGUGAUCCGGUGGUUCCGAGUGGAAGGGCCAUCGCUCAACGGAUAAAAGCUACCUCGGGGAUAACAGGCUUAUCUCCCCCAAGAGUCCACAUCGACGGGGAGGUUUGGCACCUCGAUGUCGGCUCGUCUCAUCCUGGGGCUGAAGCAGGUCCCAAGGGUUGGGCUGUUCGCCCAUUAAAGAGGCACGCGAGCUGGGUUCAGAACGUCGUGAGACAGUUCGGUCCCUAUCCGUCGUGGGCGUAAGAUAUUUGAAAGGAGCUGUUCCUAGUACGAGAGGACCGGAAUGGACAAACCGCUGGUGCACCAGUUGUUCCGCCAGGAGCAUCGCUGGGUAGCUAAGUUUGGAAGGGAUAAGUGCUGAAGGCAUCUAAGCACGAAGCCC
This 1570-nucleotide ribosomal RNA is filed under the name Eubacterium callanderi. Its description in RNAcentral is "bacterial LSU rRNA". It matches the Rfam family "Bacterial large subunit ribosomal RNA", at positions 1217 to 2795 of the family's 2925-position model. Lineage: Bacteria; Bacillati; Bacillota; Clostridia; Eubacteriales; Eubacteriaceae. The record is from RNAcentral.